UUGUUCCUCUGCCUAGUGUCAGUAAACAAGCCUUCUUCCCUCUGUAUUGUCGUCGGCCACAAGAUUUCGAGCAUCAACAGAUUUCUAUAGCCUAUUGACAGAGAGGAAGAAGAUUUGGCAGCAAUAUACCUUUGCUGGCAACAACAAAUCGUGUGUGUGGAUCAACAAUCAAGGCUGUGAAUUUAGGUUGAUGCUGUCAGGAGGGAGUUCCAGUCGCUAGUCCCCACA
Molecule: long non-coding RNA, 228 nt
Organism: Zingiber officinale
Lineage: Eukaryota; Viridiplantae; Streptophyta; Magnoliopsida; Zingiberales; Zingiberaceae
Exons: 3
Source: RefSeq, a predicted model, not a curated record